UUUUCUAUGUUUUGACGGGUGAUGUAAGUUGUUCUGCUUAGUUGAUCAUAAAUCUAGUAAAAGCUUAAGAGGCUGUACUUAAAUGGUUUUCUUCACUCAUUAUUUCUUUAAAUCAUACAAGUUGUUUUGACAGCAUCUUAAUUCAAAGGUGCUGUCUAUUAGGAAUGAUAAUUUAAGAUAUCUGUGCAAAUUUAUGAAGUGGAAUGAAAAUUUGUUGCCUCAAUAUCCUUUGCUCUGAAGUACAAUAUUUGUUUAAAUAUCGUGCUUGACUUAAUUGUUUGGGAUGAAUCACACACUGAUGUCCUUUAACCAUUUACUUUCAUGUUACAAUGUUUGUUUGCUCCUCCUAUUUGACACAAUGGGUUCCCCAUAGUAAAGGUUCUGAAUAUAUUUAAUUUCUUCUUUU
RNAcentral lists this unclassified non-coding RNA (406 nucleotides) under Hevea brasiliensis (rubber tree). Lineage: Eukaryota; Viridiplantae; Streptophyta; Magnoliopsida; Malpighiales; Euphorbiaceae. The record is from RNAcentral.